UACAGAGGGUGCAAGCGUUGUUCGGAAUUAUUGGGCGUAAAGCGCGUGUAGGCGGCUUUGCAAGUCGGGUGUGAAAGCCCUCAGCUUAACUGAGGAAGUGCGCCCGAAACUGCAGAGCUUGAGUACCGGAGAGGAUGGUGGAAUUCCCCAAGUAGAGGUGAAAUUCGUAGGUAUGGGGAGGAACACCGGUGGCGAAGGCGACCAUCUGGACGGAUACUGACGCUGAGACGCGAAAGCGUGGGGAGCAAACAGG
RNAcentral lists this ribosomal RNA (253 nucleotides) under uncultured bacterium. RNAcentral's name for it is "partial 16S ribosomal RNA". It matches the Rfam family "Bacterial small subunit ribosomal RNA", at positions 524 to 776 of the family's 1533-position model. The record is from RNAcentral.